This 1405-nucleotide long non-coding RNA is filed under the name Arabidopsis lyrata. Its description in RNAcentral is "long non-coding RNA (ALYR_LNC002366)". Lineage: Eukaryota; Viridiplantae; Streptophyta; Magnoliopsida; Brassicales; Brassicaceae. The record is from RNAcentral.
GUGGAUAAAAGAGGAGAUAAAGUGAGCAAUGAUUAUGGAUGGGCUUGUGUUGUGAUUCUAGAGAGUUUAACACCUGUAAUGGUUGAUCCAGUGAUUGGGAAAUCGAGGUUGCUUGUUACUCCGAGCGUUAAGGAGAAGGCUAAGGAGAUAGCUGAGACGUGGAAGGCGAGCUUGGAAGAGAGAGGAAGGAUAGAAAAUGUGAAGACUCCUGAUGUGCAUACGUUUCUGCAGCACCUUGUUACAUUUGGAAUUGUUAAAAGUGAAGAUCUUGCUUUGUAUAGAAAGCUUGUCGUUGGAUCUGCGUGGCGUAAACAGAUGCCUAAGCUUGCUGUUUCUGUUGGUUUGGGUGAUCAAAUGCCUGGUAAGCCUAAAGCUUUAAUCUUUUACCUUUUGGUUUUGAUCCUGGCAAGCUCAUUGUGACUAGUGAGGUCAUAUUUUGCAGAUGUAUAGUUUUCGUAGGGUACAAAUAGUUUACGGGUUGAUAAGCGAAUUUUAAAGUUGCGUGGAGAAUUUCUGGCAAACGUUGUAUUGUAUGGUAUAGAUUGUGGUGUUAUUGACUAGAACUGACCAUAGGCUGUGUGAAGUUGAAGCCUUUUACUCUGUAUCUCGUUAUUUAAUAUCUGAGCUUACGAGUUGUUGUGCUGUCCACAGACAUGAUUGAAGAAUUAAUCAGCAGGGGACAACAGCUUGAUGCUGUUCAUUUUACUUAUGAAGUUGGCCUUGUGGAUAAGUUUCCUCCUGUUCCUUUGCUCAAAGCUUAUCUAAGGGACGCAAAGAAGUCAGCAGCAUCUAUCAUGGAGGAAUCUAGCAAUACUGGCCGACCUACGGUAUCUACUCAUUUCGUAGCAUCUAAUCAUUUCUGUCCCUACUAAACAUUUUUAUUUGUGAAUCUCUAAUAUUGAAUGUCUUCCUCUUGCUAAGCAUCUCGUGGCGCGCAAGGAGCAAUCAGCACUUAAGGCGGUCUUGAAAUGCAUAGAAGAGUACAAACUCGAGGAAGAAUUCCCUCCAGAGAACCUCAAGAAGCGGUUGGAUCAGCUAGAGAAGACCAAAACCGAGAAGAGAAAACCAGCAGCUGUUCCCGCAAACAAGAGAACCCGAGCAAGCUACAACGGUCCAAUGCCACCAGCCAAAGCCGGGCGUAUCACAAACGCAUACGUCUCUUCCUUCCCUUUCAUCAGAUCACCCUCUCACUCUCCUCAAUACGCUUCACCAGCAGCUUACCCAUCCCCACCUACAACAGUCUACAGCAACAGAAGCCCACCUUAUCCAUACUCUCCCGAAAUCAUCCCAGGCUCAUACCAAGGCUCUCCUAUCGGUUACCCAGCAUACAACGGUUAUUGCAAUGGUCCAGUUCCUGCUCCAGCUCCUCCGGUUUACCACCCGCACCAUCAUCAACACCACCAAU